UACAGAGGGGGCAAGCGUUGUUCGGAAUUACUGGGCGUAAAGGGCGCGUAGGCGGCCUGUUAAGUCGAACGUGAAAUCCCCGGGCUCAACCCGGGAACUGCGUCCGAUACUGGCAGGCUUGAAUCCGGGAGAGGGAUGCGGAAUUCCAGGUGUAGCGGUGAAAUGCGUAGAUAUCUGGAGGAACACCGGUGGCGAAGGCGGCAUCCUGGACCGGUAUUGACGCUGAGGCGCGAAAGCCAGGGGAGCAAACGGG
This 253-nucleotide ribosomal RNA is filed under the name uncultured bacterium. RNAcentral's name for it is "partial 16S ribosomal RNA". It matches the Rfam family "Bacterial small subunit ribosomal RNA", at positions 524 to 776 of the family's 1533-position model. The record is from RNAcentral.